This 740-nucleotide ribosomal RNA is filed under the name uncultured bacterium. Its description in RNAcentral is "bacterial SSU rRNA". It matches the Rfam family "Bacterial small subunit ribosomal RNA", at positions 8 to 745 of the family's 1533-position model. The record is from RNAcentral.
AGAGUUUGAUCCUGACUCAGAUUGAACGCUGGCGGCAUGCCUAACACAUGCAAGUCGAACGGUAGCAGGCCUUCGGGUGCUGACGAGUGGCGGACGGGUGAGUAAUGCGUAGGAAUCUGUCUUUUAGUGGGGGACAACCCAGGGAAACUUGGGCUAAUACCGCAUGAGCCCUGAGGGGGAAAGCGGGGGAUCUUCGGACCUCGCGCUAAGGGGGGAGCCUACGUCUGAUUAGCUAGUUGGUAGGGUAAAGGCCUACCAAGGCGACGAUCAGUAGCUGGUCUGAGAGGACGACCAGCCACACUGGGACUGAGACACGGCCCAGACUCCUACGGGAGGCAGCAGUGGGGAAUUUUUCGCAAUGGGGGCAACCCUGACGAAGCAAUGCCGCGUGGAUGAAGAAGGCCUUCGGGUUGUAAAGUCCUUUCGUGGGGGACGAAAAGGUGGUUCCUAAUACGAGCUGCUGUUGACGUGAACCCAAGAAGAAGCACCGGCUAACUCCGUGCCAGCAGCCGCGGUAAUACGGGGGGUGCAAGCGUUAAUCGGAAUCACUGGGCGUAAAGGGUGCGUAGGCGGUACGUUAGGUCUGUCGUGAAAUCCCCGGGCUCAACCUGGGAAUGGCGGUAGAAACCGGCGCACUAGAGUAUGGGAGAGGGUGGUGGAAUUCCAGGUGUAGCGGUGAAAUGCGUAGAUAUCAGAAGGAAGGCCGGUGGCGAAGGCGGCUUCCUGGAACAGUCCUGACA